AUGCACGCUGGCGGCGUGCCUAAUACAUGCAAGUCGCGCGAACAGACGAGGAGCUUGCUCCUCUGACGUUAGCGGCGGACGGGUGAGUAACACGUGGAUAACCUACCUAUAAGACUGGGAUAACUUCGGGAAACCGGAGCUAAUACCGGAGAAUAAAUUGAACCGCCUGGUUCAAUAGUGAAAGACGGUUUUGCUGUCACUUAUAGAUGGAUCCGCGCCGCAUUAGCUAGUUGGUAAGGUAAUGGCUUACCAAGGCAACGAUGCGUAGCCGACCUGAGAGGGUGAUCGGCCACACUGGAACUGAGACACGGUCCAGACUCCUACGGGAGGCAGCAGUAGGGAAUCUUCCGCAAUGGGCGAAAGCCUGACGGAGCAACGCCGCGUGAGUGAUGAAGGUCUUCGGAUCGUAAAACUCUGUUAUUAGGGAAGAACAAAUGUGUAAGUAACUAUGCACGUCUUGACGGUACCUAAUCAGAAAGCCACGGCUAACUACGUG
This 496-nucleotide ribosomal RNA is filed under the name uncultured bacterium. Its description in RNAcentral is "partial 16S ribosomal RNA". It matches the Rfam family "Bacterial small subunit ribosomal RNA", at positions 29 to 507 of the family's 1533-position model. The record is from RNAcentral.